UCUACGGGGGGCUGCAGUGGGGAAUAUUGGACAAUGGGCGAAAGCCUGAUCCAGCCAUGCCGCGUGUGUGAAGAAGGCCUUCGGGUUGUAAAGCACUUUCAGUGGGGAAGAAAGCCUUGGGGCUAAUACCCUCGAGGAAGGACAUCACCCACAGAAGAAGCACCGGCUAACUCCGUGCCAGCAGCCGCGGUAAUACGGAGGGUGCGAGCGUUAAUCGGAAUUACUGGGCGUAAAGCGCGCGUAGGCGGUCUGAUAAGCCGGUUGUGAAAGCCCCGGGCUCAACCUGGGAACGGCAUCCGGAACUGUCAGGCUAGAGUGCAGGAGAGGAAGGUAGAAUUCCCGGUGUAGCGGUGAAAUGCGUAGAGAUCGGGAGGAAUACCAGUGGCGAAGGCGGCCUUCUGGACUGACACUGACGCUGAGGUGCGAAAGCGUGGGUAGCAAACAGGAUUACAUACCCGUGUAGUC
RNAcentral lists this ribosomal RNA (465 nucleotides) under Vreelandella stevensii. RNAcentral describes it as "partial 16S ribosomal RNA". It matches the Rfam family "Bacterial small subunit ribosomal RNA", at positions 338 to 795 of the family's 1533-position model. The record is from RNAcentral. Lineage: Bacteria; Pseudomonadati; Pseudomonadota; Gammaproteobacteria; Oceanospirillales; Halomonadaceae.